RNAcentral lists this non-coding RNA (311 nucleotides) under Pan troglodytes (chimpanzee). The record is from RNAcentral. Lineage: Eukaryota; Metazoa; Chordata; Mammalia; Primates; Hominidae.
GAUGUCAUCACGAGGCGACGCCGCCGCUAGCCACGCGCGCCCCGCGGCCCUCGGAGCUUUUGCAGGAGGCUUUGGUGGGGCCGAGCGGCUGCGGUGAGGACGAGGGAGGGGCUGUGGCGUCCCUACCGCCCGAGCUCUUUCCGCGUUUAGGAUUUUUAGAGGCGCGGCUCAUGGCGGCGUGGCAGUCUUAGAGCUGCGGGGAUGCGAGCAUGCGCAAUGCGCGCCUGCCAGAGCGAGGGGAGGGUGGAACCUCCGCAUGGAGCAUGCGCCGUGCAUACGGGUGGAGGAGCGAGGUUCGGGAGGCCCGUCGG